Acanthosepion pharaonis is the source of this 111-nucleotide non-coding RNA. NCBI's taxonomy places the organism in Eukaryota, Metazoa, Mollusca, Cephalopoda, Sepiida, Sepiidae. The record is from the annotation of a GenBank genome assembly.
ACAGUCACAUCACGUUGAGGUACCGGUUCGCGUACGAUCGCCGAAGUUAAACAACGUCGGGCCUGGUCAGUACAUAGAUGGGUGACUGCUUGGGAAAAGCAGGUACUGUAA